CGUGAUUCAGCUGAAGGCAGCCUUUUCCAAAUUACUGUGUUGAUUUAAGGAAAAAAUCGGAAAAAAACUCUUCUUUUAACAGCAGGUGUUUCCCGGGACUACUACGGAGGUCUUCUUGCAGGGAUUUUGGUUUUAUUUUGUCUUCUAAGCAUCUGUACACGGAAUACACUGUUCCAGCAGAGGAAUUGCAGUGGAUCAAGUUCAUUGCAGGCACAUCAAGAAAUUGAACCACUGGAUGUGGAAGAGCAGGAACUGGACAUACAAGGUGAGGAACAGCAGGAAGUGGGCAUGCAGGAUGUGGAACAGCAUGAAGUGGGCAUGCAGAAUGUGGAACAGCAGGAAUUGGGCACUCAGGAUGUGGAACAGCAGGAAUUGGGCAUUCAGGAUGUGGAACAGCAGGAAUUGGGCAUUCAGGAUGUGGAACAGAAGGAAAUUGGCUUGCUGGAUGUGGACAUGCUGAAAGUGGAACAGCGGGGAGUGGACACGCAGGAAGUGGAUGAAAUGGAUGUGGACAUGCAAAAACGGAACAGUUGGUAGAGGAACAGCAGGAAGUAGGAAUGCAGGAUGUGGAACAACAGGAGGUAUGACAGCAGAAAUCACAAGUACAAACAUUUAUGGAAAGACACAUUUACCUGAAGCUGGGACUGCAUUGCCUUGACUGUGUGCUUCAGAUUGUGGUCGAGUGGGAAGGUGAACCUGUGCUCUAACCUGAGGUCCUAGGAACUGUUGAGUAACUUCAACAAUCACUCUGUACUUCUGCCCAUUCAUUUUUCCGUAAAUGUUUCAGUAAUGUUGCACGGUAUACCGAUACUGAAAAAGUUCCGUGCCCCGUCAUUAAAAACAAUACUACUAUUUGUUUUAUUAGUGUCAGUACUUUAAGAGUAUUCCCUAUGAUUUGUGUCACUGUGCAACAGCAGGUCAGUGGCUCCACUUUCUCUCCCUCUCCCUGCAGGCACAGUGGGCGUGCCAAGCAUUUUUUUCUGUCACCCUGCAGCUUUCACAGACAGGACAGUAGUGAUGUGUGAAAUUACACUUUUUUGGGACAGAAUGUGUUUGAUUCAGUUCACCUAAAAGAUUCAUUCUGAUUUGUUCACCAACUCAUUCAGUGGCUCUUUCCGUUUGUAUAAAAUAGAUCUGAAACACUUGUGUUCCGAUGUGUCAAAAAGUAACCUAUCGUUUAGGCUAAAUAGUGUUAUGGAGUAAACUAAACACCCCCCAUAAGUUAUGUGAGAAAGAUAUUAGUUAUUGAACUAUAUGGUCUUAUGGCGUAUGCGCAGAGUGCGUGUUCAGUGGCGCGCUGCUCUCUGGUAGCGGCAGCAAUAGAACCAAAUCAGUGAACGCUCUGCAUUUGAGA
This is a non-coding RNA of Paramormyrops kingsleyae, 1354 nucleotides long. The record is from RefSeq and is a predicted model, not a curated record. Lineage: Eukaryota; Metazoa; Chordata; Actinopteri; Osteoglossiformes; Mormyridae.